RNAcentral lists this ribosomal RNA (253 nucleotides) under uncultured bacterium. Its description in RNAcentral is "partial 16S ribosomal RNA". It matches the Rfam family "Bacterial small subunit ribosomal RNA", at positions 524 to 776 of the family's 1533-position model. The record is from RNAcentral.
UACAGAGGGUGCAAACGUUGCUCGGAAUUAUUGGGCGUAAAGCGCGCGUAGGCGGCUACUUAAGUCGGAUGUGAAAGCCCUUGGCUCAACUGAGGAAGUGCACCCGAAACUGAGUGGCUAGAGUACGAAAGAGGGUCGCGGAAUUCCCGGUGUAGAGGUGAAAUUCGUAGAUAUCGGGAGGAACACCGGUGGCGAAGGCGGCGACCUGGGUCGAUACUGACGCUGAGACGCGAAAGCGUGGGGAGCAAACAGG